CAUUACAAGCAGAUUACUUGGGUUUCUCAAGGAAUUUAAAGCACUCUUAAAAAAAAUGUGUAAUUUUGUCAGCUGUAAAAUGACUGUGGUGGCAACAUGUGCUAGGGAGCAGCCCUUGCUCUCCCCAUGCAGGGACCUGCAACCAUUCACAUCCAUCAGUGGAACACAGCAGGUGACAGCAUGGAUGAAAAGCAGGACAGGGUCCUAUUUUAAUUCCUAGGGCUAACCUCCUCCAUUGACCAGGGAUGCUCAGAGAGCUGUUAAAUUGGCUUUGUUUUGUUUUCAUUGACAAUAACAAUCUUCUCAACAUCACAGACCUCUGUGGCCAAUUUAAUCCCAGUAAUGCAGCUCCUCUGAAUGCUGGGACCGAUCCCGAUGAGGUACCGUGGGGCCAGCCCUGCUUUGCAAGGUGCCUCUGCAAGGAAAAGAGCUGUUAACCCGAAUUACUUGGCAGCUCCCAGAAAUUCUAGCAGAUUUCCAUAGAGGGGGAAAAAUUAAGAUCAUAGAAAACUCUUGGCAGCAUAUGAAGGGAGAAGCAAUGCCAGACUUGUAACCAAUCAUGAAAAUGCAUGUUGUGAAGAAUAAAGAAAUGAUGAACCCUCUUCACUAAUGAACUCUACUUUUAUUCAGAAUGAAGAUGUCUUCCAGCAACAUGUUUUUUCUUUCUCUUUCUUUCUCCCCACUUCUAACAUGCUGAGUAAAAAGAAAAAAGCCCAGUUCUACAUGUCUUGAACAGAUUCAAACAUCUGUGAAUAAAUAAGUGCUAAACAUUAGAUACCUCCCAUUUAAGUUUCAAAGUCUCUUUCAGAGGAUAGUAAAUGAUAUUAUUUUGCCUCCCAGAAAGGAAAAUUAAUUCACAGAGAGGCUGACUUAACUGGGAUCACGCAA
Molecule: long non-coding RNA, 888 nt
Organism: Anas platyrhynchos (mallard)
Lineage: Eukaryota; Metazoa; Chordata; Aves; Anseriformes; Anatidae
Source: RefSeq, a predicted model, not a curated record